This is a long non-coding RNA of Homo sapiens (human), 1130 nucleotides long. The record is from Ensembl. Lineage: Eukaryota; Metazoa; Chordata; Mammalia; Primates; Hominidae.
AAAUGGCUGGGAGGGGGAUGGGGAUGUUGAAUUUGGAAAUUGGAGGGGACGCUGGUGGACGGAUUGGGUGCAAGGAGUUGGUGUUGAUGGAGGAGCAGGACGCCAGAGUCCCAGCCCUGGAACCGUUCAGAGUGGAGCAGGCACCACCUGUAAUCUACUAUGUCCCUGACUUCAUCUCCAAAGAAGAGGAGGAGUAUUUGCUUCGACAGGUUUUUAAUGCCCCAAAGCCAAAGUGGACCCAGCUCUCUGGGAGAAAGUUACAGAACUGGGGGGGGCCCUCAGGACCCCAUUGCCUUCCCCAGGUGGGCUUCCUCAUCCCCGAGGGAUGGUUCCUGAGCGGCUGCCCCCAUGGCUCCAGCGCUACGUGGACAAAGUGUCAAACCUCAGCCUCUUUGGAGGCCUCCCAGCUAACCAUGUCCUCGUGAACCAGUAUCUGCCUGGGGAGGGCAUCAUGGUAACCACACACCCUCGGCCCGUGUCCCCCCACUCAGACUUCUGAGCUGUGCUGGGGCAGGGGACUCUGUACCCACCCUCACUCAUUAGGCAGCCACAUCUCCCAAACAGGCAUUCACCUCCCUGUCCCUGGCUUGGGAAGCCCCCCUUUGACCCAGAGGGUGGGGGUUGUGGACUCCUGCCCUGCCCAGCCCUGGUGCCCACUCCCUAGCCCCACGAGGACGGACCACUGUACUACCCGACUGUCAGCACCAUCAGCCUGGGCUCCCACACCGUGCUGGACUUCUACGAGCCGCGGCGGCCAGAGGACGAUGACCCUACAGAACAGCCUCGGCCUCCGCCCCGGCCCACCACCUCGCUACUGCUGGAACCGCGCAGCCUGCUGGUGCUCCGCGGCCCCGCCUACACGCGUCUUCUCCACGGCAUCGCCGCCGCCCGCGUAGACGCGCUGGACGCCGCCUCCUCGCCGCCCAAUGCGGCAGCCUGCCCGUCGGCGCGGCCGGGAGCCUGCCUGGUGCGCGGCACCCGGGUCUCGCUGACCAUCCGCCGCGUGCCCCGCGUGCUGCGCGCCGGCCUCCUGCUGGGCAAGUGACCGCCAGGGCCGGGACCCCUCGGAUUCCCAGGCCCCCAGCCAUGGCCCUGUCCCUGCCUCUGGGCCCUAGACUUGGCUCAGAGCC